GGGCGAUUAGCUCAGCUGGUUAGAGCGCCUGCCUUACAAGCAGGAGGUCCACGGUUCGAGUCCGUGAUCGCCCACCA
RNAcentral lists this transfer RNA (77 nucleotides) under bacterium. Its description in RNAcentral is "tRNA-Val". It matches the Rfam family "tRNA". From Rfam's summary of the family: Transfer RNA (tRNA) molecules are approximately 80 nucleotides in length. Their secondary structure includes four short double-helical elements and three loops (D, anti-codon, and T loops). RNAcentral also lists the same sequence under 10 other names. The record is from RNAcentral.